UUUAUUUAGUUAAGGAAUCUUCGAGUAAUAGUUAAAAAAAAUCUUUCGCAUUCUAAUUCUAUAGCUAAAUCAUGUGUUGUUGCUAUAUUAUAAACUUUCGUGCAUGAGCCAUUUAAAUCCGUUUGGAUUACUUUUUAGUUGUUUCCCCUGGAAAAUUCUCUUCUUGCUAGCCUUCGCCGAGUUAUUCAACAACAUCGCUAUAUUGCUGAUUUUUGCUGUUGUUUUUUUGGUUAAAGCUGCAUGCUUUUGUUGGAUAAUGUUUAAUUUAUCAUUCACGUUUUACAUAUGAUUCUGUUUAAACCAUAUUUAAUCGAUGUUUUGGUGAAUUUCGCGCAUGCUUAACUUGCCUGAUUUCGGACGUAAUUUACUUUCGGAUACAUGCUCCUCUUGUGUUUUUUUUCGAUGUUUUCUUAUGUAUGCAGAUUAAAAAAAAACAGCUCAUGCUUAAAUGUGUUAUUGAGCAAGUGACUUCUUUAUACUAUGGCAGGAAUAAAAAAACUGUUAUAAAAUUAUAAAGGAAGUUUAGUUACAUGUAUAAACUCACAGUCACAAGUGUUAACACCUGGCGCCGUGACCUGGAUGCAGAUUCUAAGCAGAUGGGCCAAAAUGGGGGCAGCUAGAGAGACUCGCCUGGAACUGACAAGCCUGGAGGGAGCUGGUUGACUGUUGGCGAGAUGGGACAACAGACGAAGAAUAAACGAACCUACUUGAUUUGAUAAACAUUUUUAUGUUUUUCAGUUUCGUCGGAAGACAUUUCCCACCAACCAUCCUGUCUUGAAAGAAAUAACUUUUGAACCCGAUUAUCUGAUAUUUUCCAGUUUCCCCUCACAACAAUUUGCAUCAAACCUCUUGUCUGGGACAUUUGACAGAUUUCCGGGACAGCGGGACAAGUUCUUCAUUUCCGGGACUGUCCCGGAAAAUCCGGGACGUAUGGCAUGUAUGAUAUAACAGUUCAUACAGUUUAAGAAAUACAAUACAUUUUAUACAAUGUCGUUUUUAUGCCCCCGAACCAGCGAUUUUGAGGGCAUAUUAAAAUCGCUCCGUCCUUUAGUUUGUUAGUCCAUCCGUCCGUCUGUAAGUUAGUAAGUCCGUCUGUCAGUCCGUCCGGAUUAUUUUCCGUUCAAUAAGUCUAGCAAUUGUCAUCAGAUCUUCACCAAACUUCAUGAAAAUGUGUAAGGCAAUAACAUCUAGGUCAAGUUAGAUAAUGGGCCAAAUAGACCCAGACACCCCUGAGUUAUGGCCCUUGAAUCAUAGUAAAAUAGGGUUUUUAGCUCGACUAUUAUAUAUGAAAUAUAUAUAGUGGAGCUUUCCUACUCUCCCCGGGGUUCCAGUGUCCGUGAGCGUUGGAAUGAACUAUAGUGGGGGACAUAUUGUUUUCGCCCUGUCUGUUGGUCUGUCUGUUGGUUUGUUUGCUCCAACUUUAAUAUUUUGCCAUAACUUUUGCAAUAUUGAAGAAAGCAACUUCAUAUUUGGCAUGCAUGUGUAUCUCAUGGAGCUGCACAUUUUGAGUGGUGAAAGGUCAAGGUCAUCCUUCAAGGUCAAAGGUCAAAAUAUACCUAGAAAGGUGCAGAUUUGCUUCAGUUUUGUGUUUAGGUUCAUUUUAUUCCUAAAAUAUCACAGCUAUUACACUAUGCCUCCAAACAAUAUACGAAAGCUUGACCCAAACCAAGACACUCUUGAUGUUAGUAAUGGUAGGUGAACGUAAGAAUUAAAUGCUGGCAAUUCACAUGAAAUUGACAUGAGGGUUUAUUAAUUAUCCAUGGUCCUGAUCCCUUUAAUAUCUGAAAUCCCUGUUUGUGCAUAUAACAUAAUGAGAACACCCUUUGGGCGACCUAACUUUGUAUUUCAAUCAGUUUCUUGUUUUGACCAUUAUUUUUACAUUAUUAUCAAAACUUGUUAGUUUCCUACCCUUGAAAAAGGAGAGGGACUUACGGUUUGCGCUCUGUGUCUGUCAGUCUGACACUUUUCUGGAUCCUUCGAUAACUUUAAAAGUUCUUCACCCAUUUACUUCAAAUUAAUACUGAACCUCUCUUAUGACAAUACGGUCAAUCUCAACUAUGUAUGGCCCCAUUACCAACCCUGGGGUGCCCCUCCCACAUAGGCCACGCCCACCCAAAAUUGCCUUUUACUAUAAUUUCUUCAUUUCUACACCGAUUCACUUCUAAUUGAUACUGAACUUCUCUUAUGACAAUACGGUCAACUAUGCAUGGCCCCAUUACCAACCCUGGGGCGCCCCUGGGUCAAACAUGCGGCGUGGGGAUAUGCGUCGGUCUCUGCCGCGCCAUUUCUAGUCAACAUUGGAGACAUUGGCAUCUUAAAGGAAUAAAUUAUGUAUGAGCCCAAAUUUUGCAGAACUAUGGCCCUUGCUCAUUUUUGUUUAGCUCCUCAGCUGAAAUCAUCAUCUAGCAGUCACAAUAGUUGAGCGGUUGGAGAGGCAUGCAUUGCGUCCUACUACUGCUCAGACUAUAUUAUGUUUGGCAGACAAAACAUGCUGAUCAAAAAGAAUGUGUACCACAGGGGCCAGUGUUUCCAUUUGAGUGAUUGACAAGAAGAAGAAGAGAUGAGAAAUGUUAUCAUCAUAUUUUAGUCCCUACAUUUAUAGUGUACAGCUCAAUGUAUUGAACCGGUGUUGUAGAAUAUAAUUGGAGAUACAUGCGAACAUUAUAACAUUAUAUAUAAGAUGAUAUUUCAAAAGCAAUAAGAAAUAAAAAGUAUAAAAAGGUCAAAACAGUAAACCUUGUGUUUACAGUGGACAGGUUUAAAGUGGAAGUGACUAGUUAAUUGUUGAUCAUAAGCUGCACUGAUGGAAAAAAUAGUGGGAAAUUACUAUCUAGAAAACUGUUUAACGUACGACAACAGUUGUGGAACUUCAUAAAUGACCGUAUGUAACAGGGCUGGGCAGUUUUCCUUAUAUAGCUAUAGUGAAACCUUUUGAACACUAGUGAAGUCACUGUUUUUUUUCCAAUCUUCAUGCAUUUUGGUCGAAUAUUUGUUCAAAUGAUGGCUCAGUCCAGUUUCGAAAUUUUUAUGUCUAUUCAAAAAACAUAUCCACUAGAGCACGAGGCAAUUGUCUUUAUAUGGCUAUAAUGAAACCUUGUAAAUUCUCUAGAAGUGACAUUUUUAGCCAUAUCUCCAUAAAUUUUGGUCAGAAUAUUUAUUCUAAUGAUAGCUCAGUUGUCGAGUUUGUAACUGGUUCCGGUUUGUAGACUAACAUGGCUGCCAGUGGACAUGACAGUUUUUCUUAAUGUGCUAGAGUAGAACCUUGUUAACACACAAUUGGCCCUUUUUAUGUGCAUUUUUCAUGAAAGAUGAUCAGAGCAUUUGGCCCAAUGUAAUCUCAGCUGACUUUGAAACUGGAUCACAUAACGUCAAAAAGUGGGUCAAAAUGUCAAAUUAAAAAAAGCUUGUAAACACUGGAAGUUGCAUUUAAAAUUGUGUUCCUUUUUUAUGUCCCCCACUAUAGUAGUGGGGGACAUAUUGUUUUUGCCCUGUCUGUUGGUUGGUCUGUUGGUUGGUUGGUUUGCGCCAACUUUAACAUUUGCAAUAACUUUUGCAAUAUUGAAGAUAGGAACUUGAUAUUUUGCAUGCAUAUGUAUCUCAUGGAGCUGCACAUUUUGAGUGGUGAAAGGUCAAGGUCAUCCUUCAAGGUCAAAGGACAAAUAUAUGGGUCAAAAUCGCUCAUUUAAUGUACACUUUUGCAGUAUUUCAAUAUUCAAGAUAGCAACUUGAUAUUUGGCAUGCAUGUGUAUCUCAUUGAGCUGCACAAUUUGAGUGGUGAAAGGUUAAGUUCAUCCUUCAAGGUCAGAUGUCAAAUAUAUGUGUCCAAAAUCGCUCAUUUUAUUAUACUUUUGCAAUAUUGAAGAUAGCAACUUGAUAUUUGGCAUGCAUGUGUAUCUCAUGGAUCUGCACAUUUUGAGUGGUGAAAGGUCAAGGUCAUCCUUCAAGGUCAGAGGUCGAAUAUAUGUGGCCCAAAUCGCUUAUUUUAUGAAUACUUUUUCUAUAUUGAAGAUAGCAACUUGAUAUUUGGCAUGCAUGUGUAUCUCAUUGAGCUGCACAUUUUUAGUGGUGAAAGGUCAAGGUCAUCCUUCAAGGUCAAAUAUAUGGGUCAAAAUUGAUCAUGUAAUGUCACUUCUGCAAUAUUGAAGCUAGCAAUUUUAUAUUUGAAAUGCAUGUGUAUCUCAUGGAGCUGCACAUUUUGAGUGGUGAAGGGUCAAGGUCAUCCUACAAGGUCAAACGUCAUAUAGGGGGACAUUGUGUUUCACAAACACAUCUUGUUUAAAGUUUGUCAAAACAUUUGCUGUAAUGAUAAGCAAAGUCAAGUUUAUAAAUAAUAAUUUGUCUACAAAUUACAUAUUUUUCAUUAAGUUCAUUUAUUAUUCUAAACUACACCCUCUCAGAAUAGUUUAGUUACUUCUGGUCACAGUUGAGCACCUUAGGGCUCUUGUUCUAUAAUUUGAUUGUUUUGGAAAAUUGUCAUUUUGCCAAAAUGUGAGCAAGUCCAAAUUUAAUUAACCCUGCUUUGUAGUAUCUUGUUUUCCUUAUAUGUAAAAAGUGGAAAAUUAUCUAUGAAUCUGACUGCAUAGAUAUUUGGUAUUCAGCAAAGCAUCGUGUAAAUGUAGUAAAACUAAACACAAUUGUGUUAGCAUAAAACUGGCCAUGCCAUGGGGGUCAAAUGGUUAAUACAGACUUGUAGGAAAAAGACUUCUAAAAAUUUUAUCCGUUAAAUAUAUUUUGUGUACAUAAUGAUUAGCUUUUUCCUUCAACUUAUC
This is a long non-coding RNA of Dreissena polymorpha, 4769 nucleotides long. RefSeq lists it as uncharacterized. The record is from RefSeq and is a predicted model, not a curated record. The transcript is spliced from 6 exons. Lineage: Eukaryota; Metazoa; Mollusca; Bivalvia; Myida; Dreissenidae.